GGGUUUGUUCCGCGUCGAUUUUCGAUCAUGGGAAAGGAGCAGCCGUUCGGCUUUGUGUUCGCAGGCUAGCAUGCUAACACGCUAACAACGGACGCGUCCGUGUAACUAACCCACUUGUUAUUUAGUUGGACAGUCAAUGUAACAACCUCGGCAGACUCGUUAAAGAGGAAUAAAACAGCCGUUGGAGGUUUCGUGAUAAUCCACGUCCCAGAGACGCUCCGAGCAGGUGGGAUGCGGCGUUAGGUGCACGGGGACCGUGACGUGUGGGUCCCUCUGCGACUAGCGAGCCGUUGAUUAUGGUUGUCAAACACCGCUGUAUGGCCUGUUUUUUUGGGAUUGGCAGCUUGAAAAUGGAGCCCCUGGCGCAGCUGCCGGGCUGCGGCCUAGCUACACCUCGUGCCUUGCGAAGCCACGGUGUUUGCCUGCUUUAUGGGCCGGUUGGUGUUUCACCCAACCCGCCUGCCGAGAAACACCUCCCCGAAUUUCCCGAAAGAGAUCAACACAGCCAUAACUGGAAAUCAUAUGGACGAAGAAAUGAGUCGCCAGACUGCCACAGCGCUGCCCGCCGGAACAUCGAAGUGCACUCCCUCCCAGCGAGUGCCAGCACUGCCGGGCACCACUGCCUCCAACAGCGACCUGGCCAGCCUGUUCGAGUGCCCCGUCUGCUUCGACUACGUGUUGCCACCCAUCCUGCAGUGCCAGAGCGGCCACCUGGUCUGCAGCAAUUGCCGGCCCAAGCUUACGUGCUGCCCCACCUGCCGUGGACCUCUGGGGUCCAUCCGCAACUUGGCCAUGGAGAAGGUAGCCAACUCUGUGCUGUUCCCCUGCAAGUACGCCUCUUCCGGUUGUGAGGUCACACUGCCACACACGGAGAAGCCGGAGCAUGAGGAGCUGUGUGAGUUCCGGCCGUAUUCCUGCCCCUGCCCCGGGGCAUCCUGUAAGUGGCAGGGCUCACUGGACGCCGUCAUGCCCCACCUGAUGCACCAGCACAAGUCCAUCACCACGCUGCAGGGCGAGGACAUCGUCUUCCUGGCCACGGACAUCAACCUGCCGGGCGCCGUGGACUGGGUCAUGAUGCAGUCCUGCUUCGGCUUCCACUUCAUGCUGGUGCUGGAGAAGCAGGAGAAGUACGAUGGCCACCAGCAGUUCUUUGCCAUCGUGCAGCUCAUUGGAACGCGCAAACAGGCCGAGAACUUUGCUUACCGCCUGGAGCUCAACGGACACCGCCGCCGGCUCACCUGGGAGGCCACGCCCCGCUCCAUCCACGAGGGCAUCGCCACGGCUAUCAUGAACAGCGACUGCCUGGUGUUUGACACGUCUAUUGCUCAGCUGUUUGCCGAGAACGGUAAUUUGGGCAUCAAUGUGACCAUCUCCAUGUGUUGAAUAGCAUACACACAGAGCACCUCUUCAAGGACACCUAGGAGUUCUGUUCUUUGAGAGAACUUUCCUCUUGAACCUACCCAUGGUAGUGCUUAGCAGCUAUGUGUUGGGCCCACAUGUGAGUUGCAUGGGUAGUUGUGUCUCAGUGCAGGCCCUGCACUGAGACACAGAUCUUUGUCACCUUGAAGGGACAUUGGUGGGCCCAGGAAAUAGGAGACACCCAUGUGGAGAACCUGCAGAUCAGCAGAUCUUCAUCGCAGAAACUCUAAUUCCCUUGAAUACGACCCAGAUUGUGUGCUCUUUAUAUAAACUACACAUUUGCACCAACUGUAAUUCUCAAUAAUAUUUGGACUUUUUCCAAGCUUCAAUUAGUUGUGUGUUAGCUAGCAUUGAUAAGCUAUGACGGGGAGGCUGGGCAUUAAUUCCUCUGCAAAACAGCCCGAGGUGCUUCUGUGCGAACGUAACGGGACACACGCACAUCAUUGGUGGGUCAGUGGGAAGGAGGGGGGUGUUUUUAAAGCUGUGGGAUAUUUGAAGCAUCAGAGGGCUGGUCUUAAUUUUCUAAGUUGGUCUAAAUUCCAUAAUUUCAGUUCCAUUCAAGGUGAAAUAGCAGCUUGUAUCAGUUUUGUUUAAUUUGUGUCCCUGCUGUUUUCUUGAUUUCCAUCAAGGAAAACAGCUGCACAGAUUUCGCUCUGUGGACAGAUCCGCUGGCUUAGACAAAACGCAUCCUGACACUGCAGAAGGCUGACGGAUCCCUCCUCAACAUAUAGGUCUGUUCAAGCUAUAUUCAGUCUCUGUGCAUCACUACAAUUUACUUUCUUUGUGUCAUUAAAAUAAAUCUAUCUUUUUCAUA
This is an RNA transcript of Brienomyrus brachyistius, 2233 nucleotides long. It is a transcript of the gene named E3 ubiquitin-protein ligase SIAH1A-like, with no coding region annotated. The record is from RefSeq and is a predicted model, not a curated record. The transcript has 4 exons. Lineage: Eukaryota; Metazoa; Chordata; Actinopteri; Osteoglossiformes; Mormyridae.